GACGAACGCUGGCGGCGUGCUUAACACAUGCAAGUCGAACGGGGCCCCUCCUUCGGGAGGGUGUCCUAGUGGCGAACGGGUGAGUAACACGUGGGCAACCUGCCCCCGGCUCUGGGAUAACCCCAAGAAAUUGGGGCUAAUACCGGAUAUGACCGCUGACCGCAUGGUCUGGUGGUGGAAAGAUUUUUACGGCUGGGGAUGUGCCCGCGGCCUAUCAGCUUGUUGGUGGGGUAGUGGCCUACCAAGGCGACGACGGGUAGCCGGCCUGAGAGGGUGACCGGCCACACUGGGACUGAGACACGGCCCAGACUCCUACGGGAGGCAGCAGUGGGGAAUAUUGCGCAAUGGGCGGAAGCCUGACGCAGCGACGCCGCGUGGGGGAUGACGGCCUUCGGGUUGUAAACCUCUUUCAGCAGGGACGAAGCGAAAGUGACGGUACCUGCAGAAGAAGCACCGGCCAACUACGUGCCAGCAGCCGCCGUAA
Molecule: ribosomal RNA, 484 nt
Filed under: uncultured bacterium
Lineage: Bacteria
Description: partial 16S ribosomal RNA
Rfam family: Bacterial small subunit ribosomal RNA
Source: RNAcentral